UACAGAGGUCUCAAGCGUUGUUCGGAUUCAUUGGGCGUAAAGGGUGCGUAGGCGGCGCGGUAAGUCCGCUGUGAAAUCUCGAGGCUCAACUUCGAGCUGUCGGUGGAAACUGUCUGGCUAGAGUCCGGAAGAGGAGAAUGGAAUUCCUGGUGUAGCGGUGAAAUGCGCAGAUAUCAGGAAGAACACCCGUGGCGAAGGCGGUUCUCUGGGACGGUACUGACGCUGAGACGCGAAAGCGUGGGGAGCGAACAGG
RNAcentral lists this ribosomal RNA (253 nucleotides) under uncultured bacterium. RNAcentral's name for it is "partial 16S ribosomal RNA". It matches the Rfam family "Bacterial small subunit ribosomal RNA", at positions 524 to 776 of the family's 1533-position model. The record is from RNAcentral.